GAUGAACGCUGGCGGCGUGCCUAACACAUGCAAGUCGAGCGAUUUACUUCGGUAAAGAGCGGCGGACGGGUGAGUAACGCGUGGGUAACCUGCCCUGUACACACGGAUAACAUACGGAAAGGUAUGCUAAUACGAGAUAAUAUGCUUUUAUCGCAUGGUAGAAGUAUCAAAGCUUUUGCGGUACAGGAUGGACACGCGUCUGAUUAGCUAGUUGGUAAGGUAACGGCUUACCAAGGCGACGAUCAGUAGCCGACCUGAGAGGGUGAUCGGCCACAUUGGAACUGAGACACGGUCCAAACUCCUACGGGAGGCAGCAGUGGGGAAUAUUGCACAAUGGGCGAAAGCCUGAUGCAGCAACGCCGCGUGAGCGAUGAAGGCCUUCGGGUCGUAAAGCUCUGUCCUCAAGGAAGAUAAUGACGGUACUUGAGGAGGAAGCCCCGGCUAACUACGUGCCAGCCGCCGCGGUAA
RNAcentral lists this ribosomal RNA (468 nucleotides) under uncultured bacterium. RNAcentral describes it as "partial 16S ribosomal RNA". It matches the Rfam family "Bacterial small subunit ribosomal RNA", at positions 28 to 523 of the family's 1533-position model. The record is from RNAcentral.